AGAGUUUGAUCCUGGCUCAGGAUGAACGCUGGCGGCGUGGAUAAGGCAUGCAAGUCGAACGGAUCUUGCGCUUGCGCAAGAUUAGUGGCAGACGGGUUAGUAACACGUACUUACGCACCGCUAACACGGGCAUAACUAAUUGAAAGAUUAGCUAAUUCCCGAUAGUCUCUGUUUUUGCAGAGUAAAGGUUUCUUUUUAAGAUUCCGGUUAGUGAGCGGAGUGCGGUCUAUCAGCUAGUUGGUAGGGUAAAGGCCUACCAAGGCUAUGACGGAUAGGCGGUGUGAGAGCAUGAUCGCCAACAAUGGGACUGAAACACGGCCCAUACUCCUACGGGAGGCUGCAGUCGAGAAUAUUGGUCAAUGGGGGAAACCCUGAACCAGCGACGCCGCGUGCUCGAAGAAGUCCUUCGGGGUGUAAAGAGCUUUUAUCAGGGAACAAUCCCGCUUUAGCGGGAUGAGCGUACCUGAUGAAUAAGGGGUGACUAAACUCGUGCCAGCAGUAGCGGUAAUACGAGUGCCCCAAGCGUUAUCCGGAUUUAUUGGGCGUAAAGAGUCUGUAGGCGGUUUAGAAAGUCUUUGGUUAAAGGCCUAGGGCUUAACCUUAGGAAUGCCAAAGAAACUUCUAGACUUAGAGGGCGCUAGAGGCUAGUGGAAUGGUCGGUGUAGGGGUGAAAUCCGUUGAUAUCGACCAGAAUACUAAAAGCGAAGGCAUCUAGCUGGGGCGAACCUGACGCUGAGAGACGAAAGCGUAGGGAGAGAACGGGAUUAGAUACCCCGGUAUUCUACGCUGUAAACGAUGGAUACUAGCUAUUUGAAGUGUCGACCCUUCAAGUGGCGAAGCUAACGCGUUAAGUAUCCCGCCUGGGAAGUACGGCCGCAAGGCUAAAACUCAAAGGAAUAGAC
Molecule: ribosomal RNA, 902 nt
Filed under: Candidatus Nealsoniibacteriota bacterium
Lineage: Bacteria; Candidatus Nealsoniibacteriota
Description: bacterial SSU rRNA
Rfam family: Bacterial small subunit ribosomal RNA
Source: RNAcentral